CUCAGUUCGGAUCGGAGUCUGCAACCCGACUCCGUGAAGCUGGAUUCGCUAGUAAUCGCGCAUCAGCCAUGGCGCGGUGAAUACGUUCCCGGGCCUUGUACACACCGCCCGUCAAGCCAUGGGAGCCGGGAGUGCCUGAAGGCCGUGACCGCAAGGAGCGGCCUAAGGUAAAACUGGUGACUGGGGCUAAGUCGUAACAAGGUAUC
This 206-nucleotide ribosomal RNA is filed under the name uncultured bacterium. RNAcentral describes it as "partial 16S ribosomal RNA". It matches the Rfam family "Bacterial small subunit ribosomal RNA", at positions 1287 to 1500 of the family's 1533-position model. The record is from RNAcentral.